This 300-nucleotide ribosomal RNA is filed under the name uncultured Methanocaldococcus sp. Its description in RNAcentral is "bacterial SSU rRNA". It matches the Rfam family "Bacterial small subunit ribosomal RNA", at positions 496 to 795 of the family's 1533-position model. The record is from RNAcentral. Lineage: Archaea; Methanobacteriati; Methanobacteriota; Methanococci; Methanococcales; Methanocaldococcaceae.
UGUAAUGUCGGUCAGGCGUGAUGGGUAAUACGGAGGGGUGAAUCGGUAUCAGGAUUUACUGGGGUUAAAGGGUGUGGAGGCGGGCCGUUAAGUCAGUGGUGAAAUCUCUUGGCGCAACUCAGAAACUGCCAUUGAUACUAUUGGUGUUGAAUAGUGUGGAGGUGGGCGGAACGGGUCAUGUAGCGGUGAAAUGCUUAGAGAUGACCCGGAACACCGAUUGCGAAGGCAGCCCACUACGCAAUGAUUGACGCUGAGGCACGAAAGCGUGGGGAUCAAACAGGAUUAGAUACCCCUGUAGUC